RNAcentral lists this ribosomal RNA (253 nucleotides) under uncultured bacterium. RNAcentral's name for it is "partial 16S ribosomal RNA". It matches the Rfam family "Bacterial small subunit ribosomal RNA", at positions 524 to 776 of the family's 1533-position model. The record is from RNAcentral.
UACGUAGGGCGCAAGCGUUAUCCGGAAUUAUUGGGCGUAAAGAGCUCGUAGGCGGUUUGUCGCGUCUGCCGUUAAAGUCCGGGGCUCAACUCCGGAUCUGCGGUGGGUACGGGCAGACUAGAGUGAUGUAGGGGAGACUGGAAUUCCUGGUGUAGCGGUGAAAUGCGCAGAUAUCAGGAGGAACACCGAUGGCGAAGGCAGGUCUCUGGGCAUUAACUGACGCUGAGGAGCGAAAGCAUGGGGAGCGAACAGG